This is a long non-coding RNA of Triticum dicoccoides, 1221 nucleotides long. RefSeq lists it as uncharacterized. Lineage: Eukaryota; Viridiplantae; Streptophyta; Magnoliopsida; Poales; Poaceae. The transcript is spliced from 4 exons. The record is from RefSeq and is a predicted model, not a curated record.
CCGUGGAUUUCCUUCCUGGGCCGCCACCUCCUCCCUGCAGCUUCGCCCGAGGGCUGCGCGCUUCUUUUGCUGGCUCCACUCCAUUGCCGGAGACCUUCUAUCCCUCUCCCUGGCCGCACAUCCACUGGCUCACCCCGCGCCGCCCUCUCUCCACCCCUCCUCGCGCCGUCCGUCCGUCCAUGGCGACCCACCGCAGCGCUCCAAGACCUCCACGACGGCAUGGUAUGGUAGGAGGAACUUCCAAGACCUCGACGACGGUAUGAAAUCCUCCUCCCAUCCCCUUGUCUCCUUUUCUCUCCUUGUCCCCCUCGUCUCGUGUCUUGUCUUGUCUGUAGGUGAGUGAGGUAGGAGGUACAGCAGCCAGCCACCGGUUGAUGACAGCAGCCUCCUUCUCCUCCUGCCAUGGAGUGGGAUGGAAGACAUGAGCACGAGCAGAUUCACUAGCUGGACGGACCUUUAUGGUGGCUGUGAUUAGGUAGGAUCAUUGCAGAAUUACCCAAGGCAGUGCCUUGCAAUUAGGCAUUGUUAUGUCAAUCAAAUCAUCCAUCCAUACAUAUGAUUGAUUUGUUUAUAAUUAUAUGCUUGAUUUAUGAUUCCAUAAGAGUAGGCUGAUUCGGCUGCUUCCAUUCCUUCCUGUAUGUAUUGAUGCUAGCUCCUUCAACUUUGCUUCUAUUUAAUUCACACUAUCUCAUUUGCUCCUGCAUCAUGAACCCUCCAUUCACGAGGACGACACAUGGUCGAGCUCCCUCCCCGGCCAAGCGAGCUGCUGCUUCACACCAUCCGGUGACAAACUGAGGCGGCUGACUCCAUGAACGAGGAGGAGCUGCUUGAGUUUUCCCCCCAAUCUUAUCACUGCUCUGAUAUGAGUCACCCUGCUGUUUUGGUCUGCUUGAUUAUUCUUUCACUCUCCGAUCCGCCCGAGUGUUGUGAACGACAACAAGCAGCAGCUUGGUGUGUAGUUGUAAUUCAAACUCCCUGUUUAUUCUCCAUGGGACAUGGAGAAUUCUACCUACAUAUGUGUUUGUAGGUGUACACAAGGUCGUUCUUCUGGUUUUUCUUUUCGCUGCUGUGCUCUAGCCUUGCUAGUUCCCAUUCUGGUUGGUUGUGAAACAACAAAACGGGGUGGCAAGGUGAUUUUGGUUUCACUCCAGCUAGCUUCUUCUUGUGUAAUCAAAUUUGCCUAUCAGGUCCUUCCUUCCUUCCUUCCUUCCUGUAUGUAUG